RNAcentral lists this ribosomal RNA (16 nucleotides) under Podosphaera fugax. RNAcentral describes it as "partial 28S ribosomal RNA". Lineage: Eukaryota; Fungi; Ascomycota; Leotiomycetes; Helotiales; Erysiphaceae. The record is from RNAcentral. RNAcentral also lists the same sequence under 3 other names.
AUGACCUCGGAUCAGG